This 1530-nucleotide ribosomal RNA is filed under the name Triticum aestivum (bread wheat). RNAcentral describes it as "partial small subunit ribosomal RNA". Lineage: Eukaryota; Viridiplantae; Streptophyta; Magnoliopsida; Poales; Poaceae. The record is from RNAcentral.
CAGACGUCCGAGGAAUGGAUGAUGCUGAGAGUCGAUACACUGAAGCAGGACGUAUGCAUGAUAUUUAAGGCAUGCAAACAUGUGAUAGAGUCACUUACCCUUGUGAAUGCGCUACAACUUCUCAGAACCAAUCAUCUCCUCAAUAAGCAUAUAGACAUCACGCUGCACCAUAUCCACGAGUGCGAGUUCAAUAGCUACAGCCUCUAUGAGGUGGCUCUUCGUUUUCGCUUGCUUAGAGAGCAUGGCCUUUGGGUAUCUCCAGAUGUGUUCGACAAAUUCAAGGACGAACGUGGGAGCUUCAGUAAGGAGAUAACAAAUGAACCAAAGGGAUUGUUAGGUUUGUACAACGCUGCAUUCCUUUUGAUUCAUGGUGAGCCGGAACUCGAAGAAGCCAUAUCCUUCGCAAGGUAUCAUCUUGAGUCAAUGAGGGGCAACUUCAAGUCGCCUUUAGCAGAGCAAGUCAAACGAGCCCUUGACAUUCCACUGCCAAGGACCUACAGAAGAUUGGAGACAAUGCAUUAUCUCACAGAGUACAAACAGGAGGAAGGGCAUAAUCCGAUUCUACUGGAGCUGGCAAAGCUGAAGUUUACCCUUUUGCAGUAUGUCCAUUUGAAUGAGCUCAAGUCUAUUUCCAGGUGGUGGGAAUGUGCUUACGAGCACAUGGGAUUAAGCUAUGCUCGGGAUCGUCUGGUGGAGUGUUACACUUGGUCCUAUACUUUGUUCUACGAGAAAGACUUUGAGCUGGCACGAAUGAUGUUUGCCAAAAUAUUGGCACUACAAACCGUGAUGAAUGACACAUAUGACGCCCAUGCCACCAUAGUGGAAAGCCGGCUGCUAAACACAGCCAUACAACGAUGGGAUUACGACGCUGAUUCUCUUCUGCAAGAGUAUUUGAAGAUGUUCUAUAAUUUACUACUCACAACCUUCAAGGAGUUUGAGGAUCAACUUGGACUUGACAAGAGAACUCAGGUGGCGUAUGUCAAGAAAGAGUUCCAAAAGCUAUCUACUUAUUAUCUCCAAGAAGCCGAAUGGUCACACCUGAAUUUCAAGCCAAGCUUUGAAGAUCAACUAAAUUUGACUAGCAUGUCCAUAGGCAUGCCAAUUCUAUGUGUGGCUAGUGCGGUUGGCAUGGGCGAUGCCCUAAUGAAGGGAACAUUGGAGAGGGUGAUUGAUUACCCUGAUGUCGUCAUGUCAUGCGCGAAGAUUGAACGUUUAAUGAAUGACAUUUCAGCAGUUCAUCUCGGAAAGAACAAAGGAGAUGUACCAACCACCGUGGAGUGUUACAUGUAUGAUCACAAGGUCAGCAGUGAGGUCGCCUUGUCCUGUAUUGAAUCCUUUAUGGAUGAUGAAUGGAAAACUAUAAACCAAGCUCGCUUUGAAGAUCUUGCACUAAUGUCAGCGGUUAAGAGGGUUAUCAACUAUGCUAGCAGCACAUCAUUGUUCUAUGGUAGGAAUAAAGAGGGAUUCACAUUUGGCACACACCUUCAAGAGACAGUUGAUAUUCUUUUUGUCAAAUCAGUUCAAUUGUAG